Molecule: long non-coding RNA, 2895 nt
Filed under: Mus musculus (house mouse)
Lineage: Eukaryota; Metazoa; Chordata; Mammalia; Rodentia; Muridae
Description: long non-coding RNA chr16:40060581-40063476
Source: RNAcentral
UUUUCUUUUUUCUUUUUUUUUUUUUUCUUUUUUUGAGUCACUGUUGUGCUUGACUAUUGGUAAUGUUCCAGGCCAUCUGUCUACCUCGCCUGGCCAUAGAUAGUGACAUCAGAGAUUUUUCUGCCCACAGAGGUCACACUUACAGACGGAAGAAGGUCAGCUAUUACAGAGCAGGCUCUGAGGAAAUGUUGGAUGUAGAUCUGUGUAGGAAAGUUUCCAAGAUACAGACUUUUGAAGGGGACCUGAACAAAGUCAUGGAAAUGAGCACAAUGAAAGCCAGGAGAGGUGCAUCAAUGGCUAUAAGAGAAGCAUCUCAGGACCUCUACCUAGAGUAAUGAGCAGAUGCCACAUGUUUGGACCCUGUUUGGCCUCUGUACUUGUGGCUCUGUAUUUAUUUGUAUUUCAUGAGUGGGAGCCAUAUUCACUCAUCUGUUAUUUUUAUACAAUUUUAUGAUGAAACCCAUUAUUGUUUCAAAAUCCUACCCUUAAUAACACCAUUAUGAUGCUAACCUUGAUGUUUGUAACUAAAGGUCCCUUUUGUCAGUAAAUAAAGCUUCUAACAGUGCUGAAGCAAGUUAAUGUGUGAGUGUGAGUGACUUGCUUGUUCCCUUAGGCACAUGUUAAUCUCACAAGAUGAAAUACAACAAUGAUUAAACCCAAGAUACAGGCUGCUGGGGGCACAAUUCAAAGAGCCGACUAUCAAUUAUCAGGAAGAUAUUUUUAUAGCCUGAGUCCUCCCAUGACAUUCAUCCACCCUCACAACUAAAACUCUCCUGACCUGUAAGGAAAGCUGGUUUCAUCAGAAAGAAUUCAAUGCUACACUUACGCUACUAGAUAGGUUGUGUUAGGAUAGCAUAUUGCAUUUGUCCAGUGUUUUAGAUAGGAAAUCUCUAGGUUAGUCCACAAAUUAUAAAAUUUGUGGAAUAUUCUGCUCAACUCUUAGUUACAUUUUCUUUGACUCAACUCCUCACCUCAAGUAUAGCCCUUGGUAGGUGGAGUAUAGGUCAAAGCAAUAUUUGUUUCACCAAGUCAUCUCAGUUGAAUUCCAGCAGAGUUUAGUAUAUCAUUCAUUUUAUUUCAGUCAUAGAGUAUUGUAUUUUAUAUUAAUACGUGUUCCAUGUAAAAAAUGCUCAAUUUUAAAAUAUUAACUAUUUAGGAUUAAUAUUUUUAAUAUCAGAUUCAUAACCUAUUCAGUAUAUUCCAUAUAUCCUCACAUAUUAUACAAUUUCUGUUUAAGUUAUUAAUGAUUAAUGAAUGAUUCAAGCAAUCAAUAUAAAUAGGAAUUGUACUGUUUUACUGUCAUACUAAUAUCAGAAAUUACAGGUUAUUGAAUCCUGAAUAUCCCCACUUUAAAUGCUUCCUAACUUAUUUAAUAUUUUUUGGUAUUUCUUUUGAUUUUUUCCUCACCAAUAAUCUUACUGUUUGCUACCAUUUUGGCUUAUGCCAUUUUCAUGGUACUAGACUUUAUGAACUGUGCUAUAUGGAAAUUGUUUUGGAUGCCAUUUGUUGAUAAUGACUACUUUCUAAUUGUGGCGCAGUUUAAAGCAAUAUGUAUGACCUUACUCCUGUUGAAGCACAAUGGCCUAAUAAUAUACACAUAGUUUCUAUUGAAAAUGUCUCCAGCAGAUAUGAAUACUGGAGCAUGUAUUUUGUCCUAGCGUGGUAACGCUUGCUAUGAACAUACCCUGGGGAAAAAAAAAGCAAAUUCCAGAGACAAAGGUUUCAUUUGACUUGCAAUUUGAGGUUAUAUGGUUAUAGUCUAUCAUAUUGGGGAAGCCAAGAUGGUCAGAACUUCUGACAGCUAGUCAUAUUUACAUUCUAGAUUAGGGAAUGCACACAUGCCUACAAGGGCUCAGCUCACUCUAGAGUUUUAUGUAUUCCACAACACAAACGCAUGGAAUAGUGCUGCCCACUUUGAGGUUGAGUAUCCCCUCAUCAGUUAAUGUCUUCAUGACAACCCUAUACAUACAUACACAGAAAACACCCAGAAGAGUCAGGACAACAUAAUCUAGGAAAUCCUUCAUUGAGACUCUUUUCUGGGGUGAUUUUGAUUAUGUUUUUCUGAUUUUUCUGGGUAUUCUCUGUGUCAAUUUGAUGGUACUUACAGAUUAGAUUUUUCAAAUUGACACAUACUAGAGUCACCUGGAAAAAGGAAACCCCAAUAGAUGAAUUAUUUAUAUUGUAUUUAUUUGUGCCCAAUUUGUAAUGUCUUCCUUUUAAAUUUCUAGUUGCUAUAGGAGGGUCUAUCCCCUGUGGGUGGUGUCAUACUUACACAGGUAGGCCUAGACUGUGAGAAGGCUAUCUGAGCCAUCCAUGAGAGUCAAACAGUAAAGAACAUUCCUCCAUUCUCUCAGCUUCAGUCUUGUCUCUGUAUAUAUGCCAUAGGUUCUCAGGAUAAUGAAAUAAUACCUAUAAGAUAAAAUAAAAACUUUCUUCCAUAUGUCGCGUUUGGCCAUGGCUGUAUACCAGCAAUAGAAAUCUAUUUGCUACAGACAUGAUUUGUAUAAUCUAGUCUUCAUGGGAAACACUGAGGCACGGUUACACUGUCUCAAAAUCUUCUAUGUAAAGAUCAGGAAGCUGGCUAGUCAUUUCCAGUUCUACAACUUAUCUAAGUCAUUAGCUAAAAGCUGUUCUUCAGGGCAUCAACUCCUUAGCACUUCUAGCCUGCCACAUGGAGAUCAAGAGAAAACUUUCACAUAGAGAUUUGCGUAGGCGUGCAAUAGAAAAGUGCAGGCAGCUUUUGAAAUGGCAUGCCCCAAAUAAACAUGGAUUUGGCAAUAACAUAUGGUACAAUUGUACACAGAUAAAGGGAACUAGCUAUGGUAGUGACUCGGUGCUUUGAUUACCCCUUAUUUAAGUGCAGAUGUUCUUUGUGGCUAAUUAUUUCAAAUGGUC